Molecule: ribosomal RNA, 406 nt
Filed under: uncultured prokaryote
Description: bacterial SSU rRNA
Rfam family: Bacterial small subunit ribosomal RNA
Source: RNAcentral
UGGGGAAUUUUCGGCAAUGGGGGAAACCCUGACCGAGCCAUGCCGCGUGUAGGAUGAAGGCCUUCGGGUUGUAAACUACUGUGGAAAGAAACUAAAAAAAUGAAGAUCUUUCUAGAAAGAGGUUGCAAACUCUGUGCCAGCAGCAGCGGUAAUACAGAGACCUCAAGCGUUAUCCGGUUUCAUUGGGCGUAAAGCGUUCCGAUCGGUGGUUUAGUGUGUCUGUGGUGAAAGACCGAAGCUUAACUUCGUGUUUGCCAUGGAAACUGCUAAACUUGAAGAGUAAAGGGGUGGCUAGAACUCUGCAAGUACCGGUGAAAUGGGUUGAUAUGCAGGGGAAUACCAAAAGCGAAGGCAGGCCACUGGGUACUUCUUGACACUGCUAGGACGAAAGCGUGGGGAGAGAAUG